Molecule: long non-coding RNA, 781 nt
Filed under: Olea europaea (common olive)
Lineage: Eukaryota; Viridiplantae; Streptophyta; Magnoliopsida; Lamiales; Oleaceae
Description: long non-coding RNA (OEUR_LNC013275)
Source: RNAcentral
UUAGAAAAAUUGGGCACUUAUUGGGUAAUUGAGUCACUCAUAAUUUAUUGAUUACUUAUAUUGAUUUAAAUAAUUGUGUUUGAAUUAAACAGAAAUGAGGAUGCUCAAUUUGAAUCCCAUUGACAUACUGUCCAGUUGAAUGAGCCCUUGGGUGUUACAUUUUCAUUUUUUUUUUCUAAUUUUUUUUAUCAAUAAGUAAAUUAUGAUCCAAGAGAGUUGAAAUAAAGUUAUAUAUGAUGAACUAAUCUACGAGUAGGGGUGACAUGUACCCGGGCGGCUUGUCAGCUAGGCUUGCUCCAGCAUUAGCCCAUCAGUCAAGUAAACCUCUUGGGACUUCAUAAUUUGGCCCUUGAGCCUGACCCUUUUUCCUUAUUUUCUUAUAUAGUAACAUUAAAUUUUCCUAUUUAAUAUUCGAUAUUUCAAUACUUUUCUUUGAAUUCUGUUUAGAAAAUUGUAAAGUCCAGAUUGCUUAAUGGGCUAUGUCGAACUUGGGUGGCCGGUCAUGGCUCAGCUCGACUCAGAGCAAUAACACCCAUAUCUACGAGAACUAGAUGGCUCGCCCAUCACGAUUCUAAGCGUAGGGCAUGGGUGCUUGGGGGCAUUGUUUAUGUUUGAGGAUAGGCAGGUUCUAAGGUUGAAGGACAUUGUAGUAGGGGUGGUAAUCAAUCAGGCCGAGCCAACCUAUGGGCACAAACUCUAGGCUCAAAUUAACUUGUUUCCCAUAAGAGCUUAUGCUUUUAGGCCCAUGAGUCGAGCUGGCAUGGCUUGCUAGUUGCUGCCC